CGCUGGCGGCGUGCCUAACACAUGCAAGUCGAGCGAGGAGAUCCUCGGGAUGAUCCUAGCGGCGGACGGGUGAGUAACACGUGGGCAACCUGCCUCAUAGAGAGGAAUAGCCUUCCGAAAGGGAGAUUAAUACCUCAUAACAUUGCAGUUUCGCAUGAAACAGCAAUUAAGGAGCAAUCCGCUAUGAGAUGGGCCCGCGGCGCAUUAGCUAGUUGGUGAGGUAACGGCUCACCCAAGGCGACGAUGCGUAGCCGACCUGAGAGGGUGAUCGGCCACAUUGGGACUGAGACACGGCCCAGACUCCUACGGGAGGCAGCAGUGGGGAAUAUUGCACAAUGGGGGAAACCCUGAUGCCAGCAACGCCGCGUGAGUGAUGACGGCCUUCGGGUUGUAAAGCUCUGUCUUCAGGGACGAUAAUGACGGUACCUGAGGAGGAAGCCACGGCUAACUACGUGCCAGCCGCCGC
This 466-nucleotide ribosomal RNA is filed under the name uncultured bacterium. Its description in RNAcentral is "bacterial SSU rRNA". It matches the Rfam family "Bacterial small subunit ribosomal RNA", at positions 34 to 518 of the family's 1533-position model. The record is from RNAcentral.